RNAcentral lists this ribosomal RNA (293 nucleotides) under uncultured bacterium. RNAcentral's name for it is "partial 16S ribosomal RNA". It matches the Rfam family "Bacterial small subunit ribosomal RNA", at positions 488 to 780 of the family's 1533-position model. The record is from RNAcentral.
AAGCCACGGAUAACUACGUGCCAGCAGCCGCGGUAAUACGUGGGUGGCAAGCGUUGUUCGGAAUUAUUGGGCGUAAAGAGUGCGUAGGCGGUUUAUUAAGUUUGAUGUGAAAUCUCGGGGCUUAAUCGCGAGAGGGCAUUCGAAACUGGGGAUCUUGAGUGUAGUAGAGGAGGAUGGAAUUCCAAGUGUAGAGGUGCAAUUCUUAGAUAUUAGGAGGAACACCAGUGGCGAAGGCGGUCAUCUGGGCUACAACUGACGCUAAUGCACGAAAGCGUGGGGAGCAAACAGGAUUA